RNAcentral lists this non-coding RNA (233 nucleotides) under Bacillus cereus. RNAcentral describes it as "T-box sequence". It matches the Rfam family "T-box leader". From Rfam's summary of the family: Uncharged tRNA acts as the effector for transcription antitermination of genes in the T-box leader family. T-boxes are found upstream of many aminoacyl-tRNA synthetase genes and some amino acid biosynthetic genes usually in Gram-positive bacteria. The record is from RNAcentral. Lineage: Bacteria; Bacillati; Bacillota; Bacilli; Caryophanales; Bacillaceae.
CAAGAAGUGAUGAUGAGGAUAUGAUUUAUUUUUUACGAUUCUCAGAGAGGGAAGCCUUAGGCUGUAAGCUUCCUAAUACGAAAGAAUGAAUUACCACCUCUGAGCUGCAGCAGUGAAUCCGUGAGUAAUUGCUUGCCGAUGAAAAUCGUUAUGGAAACUUGAGAAAUUGGUAAAGUGUAGCGCUUUGCUAAUCAAACAAGGGUGGAACCACGAAUAAAACACUCGUCCCUUUU